CCUACGGGUGGCAGCAGUGGGGAAUAUUGCACAAUGGGGGAAACCCUGAUGCAGCAACGCCGCGUGAAGGAAGACGGUUUUCGGAUUGUAAACUUCUAUCAAUAGGGAAGAAAGAAAUGACGGUACCUAAAUAAGAAGCCCCGGCUAACUACGUGCCAGCAGCCGCGGUAAUACGUAGGGGGCAAGCGUUAUCCGGAAUUACUGGGUGUAAAGGGAAAGUAGGCGGGAAGGUAAGUGAUAUGUGAAAGCCUUGAGCUUAACUUAAGGAUGGCAUAAGGAACUAUCUAGCUAGAGUACAGGAGAGGUAAGCGGAAUUCCUAGUGUAGCGGUGAAAUGCGUAGAUAUUAGGAAGAACACCAGUGGCGAAGGCGGCUUUCUGGACUGAAACUGACGCUGAGGCUCGAAAGCGUGGGGAGCGAACAGGAUUAGAUACCCGGGUAGUC
This 443-nucleotide ribosomal RNA is filed under the name uncultured bacterium. RNAcentral's name for it is "partial 16S ribosomal RNA". It matches the Rfam family "Bacterial small subunit ribosomal RNA", at positions 338 to 795 of the family's 1533-position model. The record is from RNAcentral.